RNAcentral lists this ribosomal RNA (121 nucleotides) under Varanus flavescens. RNAcentral describes it as "partial 16S ribosomal RNA". The record is from RNAcentral. Lineage: Eukaryota; Metazoa; Chordata; Lepidosauria; Squamata; Varanidae.
UAUGCACUAUUUUCUUCAGUACGAAAGGACCAAGAAAAUAGGACCCAUAUUCUAAACAAGUCCUCACCCUCGCUGAAACAAUAUUAAACUCACCAGUACCCCACUAUCCAAAAACAGGACC